GGCUUCCCGAACGAGAACCAACGUACAGAACACGAUAGGCGCGGCGCAUGCCGCGUGGUUGUAAUGAUGCAGCAGUGCAGGAGUACGUCCUUGACUUAAGCAUAUCAGUAAGGACAGGAAAAGAAACAAACUUGGAUUUCUUCAGUAGUGGCGAACGAACAAGAAGGAGCUCUAGUGGCAAGGCUGCGGCCGUUGUGGAUGUUCUGCACAGAUUCUAUGGAAAGAGAAGCCGCAGGUGGUGACAGCCCACGCAGGAACAUGAGCGGACGAGUAGUACUGCUUGGUAGUGCAGUAUGAAGGGGUGGUAUGAGCAUCCAAAGCUAAAUACAGCGGGAAGACCGAUAGCGAAGAAGUACCGCGAGGGAAAGAUGAAAAAACUUGUGUAAGAUGAAAGACAGAAAGUAGACGAGACUAAGCCUAUGUAUAGGACCCGUAUUGAAACACGGACCAAGGAGAUUUCCACGGCAGCGAGGCGGCGGCUGGCAAGGCCCUGGCCGAGAGCAAUUGGGGAGUUGCAGUGGUAAGACCCGAAAGAUAGUGAACUAUAUCUGUCGGUAUUGAAGUCAGGAGAAAUUCUGAUGGAGGAUAUUAGCCGUUCUGAUGUUCAAUUCGAUGGCGAGAGAUGGGUAUAGGGGCGAAAGACCAAACGAACUAUCUGGUAGCUGGUUCCGGUCGAAAUGUCUCUCAGGACAGCGGUGGGGGUGUAGGAGAAUGCAGUAGAGAGGAUGUGGACAUUGUCAACAAACUCCGAAUGUGUUGAGCCGCGUGCGAGCGAGCGCGCGGCGGUCUAGGAGCUCCCCACCAGUGGGCAGAUUGUGGUAAGCAUGAUCUGCAAGAAGCAAAGAAGCUAGAAGCAGGCUAAGCAACCUAAGACAGAACAGGCAAGAAAGUAGAUGGCCAAGUUAGGACAGUAGGACGGUGGCCAUGGAAGUUGGAAGCCGCUAAGAAACGUGUUAGAACGUACCUAUCGAAUUUGGGAUAGACUAAAAUUGAAGGUGGUGAUCUGUCGUGCGAGGCCUGCAUAUUGGUAGACUGGCACGCGGGCUGCGCAGAAGCGUGCGGGCGACCGUGCGUGGAGGGGCCUGCGGAGCAGAUCUUGGAAGUAGUAGCGACUAUUAUUAGGACAUUUCGAGUCGGGUUCAUCCUUUUGAUGGAAGGAGGUGACGCGACCCUAGCAAAAGGGAGGCAUGGGGAUGCUCAUGCGGCGGCCGCGGGAUAGCGAUAUGGGGACGACGGCUGGACAAAAGCCCGGUGGCAAUUUGCCGGGCAUCAGAUCUGCGGAGCGUUACACUGAGAGGCAGAGCAACAGCCUGAUAAAAAGCACGCGGCCGGUCGUACCGAACCGCAGCAGGACUCGAGGGUGAGUAGCCCGAUGUCGCAGACAACCCGCGCAAGGGAAAUCGGCAAAAUGGAUGAGUAACUUUGGGAGAAUUAUUGGCUCUAGCAUGCUAGAACUGGGCUUACAAGGGGAAUCUGACUGUUUAAUAAAAACAUAGCUUUCCGCGGAUGGAAAGUGAAUUCUGCCCAGUGCUCGGGACGUUAAAGAAGUAAUAUACAGUACGCACCUGUAAACGGCGGGAGUAACUAUGACUCUCUUAAGGUAGCCAAAUGCCUCGUCAUCUAAUUAGUGACGCGCAUGAAUGGAGCAACGAGAUUCCCACUGUCCCUGCGCGGGCAGCGCGAACCUACAGCCAAGGGAACGGGCUUGGGACAUGCAGCGGGGAAAGAAGACCCUGUUGAGCUUGACUCUAGUGAGGCAGAGGCGCUUGCUGUGAUGCCGCAGCAAGGUGGGGGAAGUGUGCAAGACCACUGGCAUAUGCAGCGAGCGUGUUAGAUGCCUGAUGGGGAGUUUGGCUGGGGCGGCACGACUGCUACACGGCAACGCAGUUGUCCAAAGGUGAGCUACGAGGGGAAGGAAACCACUCUUUGAGCAGAAGGGCAAAAGCUUGCUUGAGGCUCCGGCAUGCGCCGGGGCCACUGGAAACAGGGGCCUAUAGAUCCUCUUCUAGGUUAUGCGAAGAGGUGACGGAAAAGUUACCACAGGGAUAACUGGCUUGUGGCGGCCGAGCGAACACAGCGACGCCGCUUUUUGAUUCUUCGAUGUCGGCUCUUCCUAGCAUGGUGAAGCAGAAAUCACCUAGUGUUGGAUUGUUCACCCACCAACAGGGAACGUGAGCUGGGUUUAGACCGUCGUGAGACAGGUUAGUUUUACCCUACUGAUGACUUGUCGCCGCGAUAGUAAUCCUGCUCAGUACGAGAGGAACCGCAGGUUCGGACACUUGGUUCAUGCACUCGGUCGAGUGGCCGGUGGUGCGACGCUACCAUCCGCGGGAUUAUGCCUGAACGCCUCUAAGGCCGUAUCCCCUCUAGACGAGUGUUCCGCGACGAUAUUUUCAAGGAGUCCCGUGAGUCGAAAGGCUCAAUCCAAAGUGAUCUCUACUAGGCGGUAUAGGGGUCUCAGCGCCCCCCGUCGAUCGAGCCCCUGUUUAGCCGCACCGCCGGGGGUCCCUGCGGGGUGUCCCUCCGAAAGGAGCGCGCUCCCCGUAUCCCCGGAUGGCGGCCGACCUUGGGUACUCACCAGUUCGAUGUCGGGACUCGGAAUCGUCUGUAGACGACUUAGCUUCCGGGCGGGGUGUUGUAUUCGGUAGAGCAGUUGCCACGCUG
Molecule: ribosomal RNA, 2664 nt
Filed under: Timema californicum (California timema)
Lineage: Eukaryota; Metazoa; Arthropoda; Insecta; Phasmatodea; Timematidae
Description: eukaryotic LSU rRNA
Rfam family: Eukaryotic large subunit ribosomal RNA
Source: RNAcentral